This 498-nucleotide ribosomal RNA is filed under the name uncultured bacterium. RNAcentral describes it as "partial 16S ribosomal RNA". It matches the Rfam family "Bacterial small subunit ribosomal RNA", at positions 29 to 523 of the family's 1533-position model. The record is from RNAcentral.
AUUGAACGCUGGCGGCAUGCCUUACACAUGCAAGUCGAACGGUAACGCGGGGCAACCUGGCGACGAGUGGCGAACGGGUGAGUAAUGUAUCGGAACGUGCCCAGUUGUGGGGGAUAACUGCUCGAAAGAGCAGCUAAUACCGCAUACGACCUGAGGGUGAAAGCGGGGGAUCGCAAGACCUCGCGCAAUUGGAGCGGCCGAUAUCAGAUUAGGUAGUUGGUGGGGUAAAGGCCUACCAAGCCGACGAUCUGUAGCUGGUCUGAGAGGACGACCAGCCACACUGGGACUGAGACACGGCCCAGACUCCUACGGGAGGCAGCAGUGGGGAAUUUUGGACAAUGGGGGCAACCCUGAUCCAGCCAUGCCGCGUGCGGGAAGAAGGCCUUCGGGUUGUAAACCGCUUUUGUCAGGGAAGAAAAGACUCCUACUAAUACUGGGGGUUCAUGACGGUACCUAAAGAAUAAGCACCGGCUAACUACGUGCCAGCAGCCGCCGCCG